Molecule: long non-coding RNA, 573 nt
Organism: Aedes aegypti (yellow fever mosquito)
Lineage: Eukaryota; Metazoa; Arthropoda; Insecta; Diptera; Culicidae
Exons: 2
Source: RefSeq, a predicted model, not a curated record
UCAGCGUAACGCCAAGCGGCUGCGACCCCACCGGAGCGAGUUCGGUGCCACGGUUUGCAAGCAGGGAUCUAGAGGAACAGACGACAGCCCAGACAAGGAGGCGCAAACUCAAUUGUACGAACAAUCCAACAAGAAAGGCCUUCCAUAGAAGGCCUUUUCUUUUUUCUUUUCUGUUUCUUCUUCGUGCGCUUCAUUAGCUCCAGCCCGAACGCAGACCGAACAACUGAGAGAAACUCUUUCCUUGACGGCUCCAGCGAAUUCCGGACACACCGGGUGGUCAGCACCUACCCGUUACGGCACAGAACCGGGUGGCAAGCCACACGGAUGAGCCGAAAAGUUGCCAUCGAUUGGGGUUGGCUCCUCGCAACGCGGAUCGCCGAGGGUGAGCAGUAAAAGGGUCCGUGGCUGCCAUGCAGGUCACCACAGCACAGUCAACCGUAACCCACGUCAGCAUGUUCCGGUCCGUGAGUAAAAAACUAAGAAAAUUGUUAGAAUAAGCAAAGAAGAUAGGCAGAUAGGGCCAGUGAGGAAUGAGAAGGAAUAAAAUUGGCUCAUUGUUGAUGAAUAUGUAAA